Molecule: long non-coding RNA, 6034 nt
Organism: Bombus pascuorum
Lineage: Eukaryota; Metazoa; Arthropoda; Insecta; Hymenoptera; Apidae
Exons: 2
Source: RefSeq, a predicted model, not a curated record
GCAGGCUCUAUAACAUGUUUUCGAUUUCCCGCGAAAAUUAUUAGUAAAGUAUAGUAAAAAAGAAGAUUCGAUAAUUUAUGUUGAGGUUUUUAUAUAUUUUGGAAUAGAAAGAGCAAACGCGUGGAUAAAUGUGUUAUAGAAAUUCUUUAUGUGGAAAUGUUAGAAAUUAGGAUUUCCAGUAGUUUCUAUCCUAUGUGAUAAUGUAUCGACAGAUGGAUUUAUUGCAGUGGAUUAAACGAUGAUUAUUUAAGGUGAACUUAUAUCAUAACUCUAGAUUAACGACUAUUCACUCUUGACUCUCCGACGGCUAACUGAACAUCAACUGCUGCGGUGCCGAAAUAUAUUGAUGGGCCGUUAGGCCUAUUGAAGUUUUUCGACCCUUUCGGCUUAUCGGCAUUUGCGUUUUAUCGUCGACGUCUGUAUGUCGGCGAUCUUUUCGCGGUACUACAACAGAGACGAAAGAAGCCGUUGUAAAGAGAAUCGUUGUGCCAAAAACUAAACAACAGAGUUUUCCUAGAAGUGAGACCCAUUUCAACAAUUUGUAAAAGAGCAUGAACAGAUAAAAGAUAGCGAAGAUGAUGAUGGCGAAGGGGAAAGUUGAUGGAGUUAGGUAGUUGUCGGAUAGUACGGAAAGUGGAAACUAAAUUGGGUAUUACGCAUAGCGGCUACGUUAUCACGGAAGGCUGGCAGUCGGCCGGAUAUCGAGUGUCAAUAUCCAAAGGAUGUUGGCGCAAUAUCGGAUGAACGGUUCUGAAACACGGCCACCCUAUCUCGGACAUGCCACGGCAUUAAUAUUCCGCGCAAGUUACGAUGCGACCAUCUUCUUGUUUUCAUCGUUGAUAGGAAUACUCGCGCAACGCGAUACGAACUAGCGCCAUUUUCUCCACCAAAAUCACGUUCUCGCAAUUCAAUUUUACAUUGUUGAGGUUGACUGAUAGAGGAAUGAAUGGAUGAAUUUGUAAUAGAAAAAUAUAUUGAAAUAAGUAUAGGUAUAAGUGUAACUACAGGUAUAGUGUAUGAAGUCAAAACCAAAUGAACGGUUAUCAUUAUUUAUUAAAUUUAUGUAUGAUAUUGUUGAGGUUAACUUAUAGAGGAAUGAGUGGGUAAAUUUGUAAUAUAAAAAUAUAUUGAAAUAAGUAUAAGUACAGGUAUAGUGUAUGAGGUCAAAACCAAAUAAACGGUUAUCAUUACUUAUUAAUUUAAUGUAUAGUAUUGUUGAGGUUAAGUGAUAGAGGAACGAGUGGACGAACUUAUAUCUAUAAUUAUUUCAAUAUAUUUUUCUAUUAUAAGUAUAUUGUAUGCUGAUCCAGAUCCUCACUUUUUCAGUGUUACAAUACAAUAGAAUAUCAUAUGGAGCUCGUUUAUAUAUUUAUAGCAAAGGACAUUACCAGAAAGUUAACCUUAUAGCUUUGGCUGAAGGCUACAAGAAAGCAAUAGAAACCUACUUCUAGACCUUGUUUGUAGACCUUGCAACGCAAAACAAAAUUUAUAUUCAAGGCCACAAUAAUAUGCACCUCUCCUUAUUUAGAAAAUCUUUUGUUUCACUAAAUUCUAUUCUCUUUGUCACAGUUACGUCCAGGUCCAUACAAAAGGAAAGGUGUAGAGCUUUUCUUGAAUUAACAUAAAUUAAAUUCACGUUGUUAUCAGCUUGCAAGUUGGUUAAAGAAUGCUUCAUCGCUGGUUUGCAAGCAAUUUGUGCAUUUAUUCAAAGUACAAUAUCAGAAGGCAAAAUGAGCAAAUCUCAAAUUCGUCGAAGCAACAAAUGCUUACACCAUUGGCUUAUCUCGACUAUUUAUUCGGCGAUAACGAUGAUAUUCGCAAACUAACAAUUGGUAAUUGGCGAAUAAUACAGCGUGCAGAUUUUAUUCUUAUAACUUGAAAUAUUUUAAGAAAAAGCUGAAGCUUAAGGAAGACUACACGGGAGAAAUAGGAUCGUGCAAAGCGAUGGGUGCCGAAAUCAACGAUAAAAAACGCCAGGAGAUGAUGAGAAGGAAAGCUACUCUCCUCGGGUUCGCAAAAUUCAACCAGAAAAUACGCGUCAAUUACAGUAAUUAGCAUUUUGUGUGGAGGAAACAUUUCCGUUGCGCUCAGUCUGCCUGCAUCGUGCAAAUUCACCGCGAAAAUCGUUUAAACAGAUCCAUUAAAUUUUUUCGGCCACGUUGCUUUCGCCGUCCGACUGUAAAUGAAAAUUUCACCAACGCGACGAGCUUGUAAACCAACCAUGCGACAUUUCGAAUUCUGACUUUGUAAUUAUACUAGCCGAUAAAUCGCAUCGUUUCAUAUAUAUAUAUAUAUAUAUUGGUGCACCAGCUAUCACUGUUCUUUUCACUAAUCGAACGUUUAUAUAUAUAUUAUAUAUCGAUAUAUUUAAUUAAUCUAUAUUUGUAUCAUAUAUAAUUAAUCAAUGUAUAUGAAUACCAAUGAAUUAUAUAUAUAUAUAAUUAGUAGAUGAUAAUACGCAAUAUAUAUAUAUAUUUAUUAACAAUAUAUAUUAUAUAUCAAUAUAUUUAAUUAAUCUAUAUGUAUACCAUAUAUAAUUAAUCAAUGUAUGUGAAUACCAAUGAAUUAAUCUCGAGAUACGUAAAUUACGUUCGUAACAACGAGGAUAUUCAUUUAUUAUCGAGAGUAGAUAUACUGAUGCAACUUAAUAAUUCAUCGUAAUUAAUGCAGUCGGAACAUGCAAUUUUAGGUCGAUUCCGUAAUUUUCGUAAUAUUCAUGUACGUUACAUAUAAAUACAUUUAUAGCUGAAAUUUUGAUACCGUUCCUGUUUUCUCGAAUCCUGUAGAAAUCUGUGCAUAAAGGGUUAUGCAAAAGAAAACGGUUUUUCAGGUAUACCGGGACGAAUAUAUCUUAAAGAUGCAACAGUCGAAUGGAAGCGUUCAAAAGAGUAGAUUCUUUUGAAGUAUCGAACGAAAGCGAAGUAGAAUAGCGUAAAGCCGAGAGAACUCGAACCUCUCGAUAUGUACGGUCGAGGUCUAAGCUCGGGAUUAUCCUUCGACUACGAGUAUUAAGGAACAAGAUCGAAAAUUUGAAUCGACAUCGUGAAUUUGAGAUUUCAAAUGAACGAAUUUGAAGCCAAGAUGUUCUUUUAUCGAGAAAGUUCAAAGAUAAUGUUCCUUCUCCAAUCCUCGAUGAAAGAUUUCACGCCAUCUUUCGACACCAAAUUACAGGAAAAUCGAGAAUUGUUAAUUUGAAAUACGAAUCGAUUCAAACUAGUGAAAAAACGAUUCGAUUGUUAUAUCGAAGCAAAUACUAGUAAUCGCUCUUGUCGUGGGGAAAUAUGAUGCCCUGAAGGUAGCUAAUUUUCUUUCUCUCUCAAUAUUUUAGUACCUUUUUUACGUCUCUAUCGAUAAUCUAAUCGAUAAUGGUCUCGAAUCGCAAACAAUUUCAGACGAGAAGCUGAAAUAUCGAGCUUGUUAGUCUAUCAAAUUGUUUAAUCGUUCUGUAAAUUUGAUGCGUCGUUAUGAGUUGUUGUUACGUAAUUACCAUUUCAAGAGAAUAAUAAAAGUAGUCUAUAACGUAGUUUUACGAUGCAAAUCAAUAAUAUUAGAAUAUGAACGUGAUAUAGCCUUGCGAGGAUUUACAAAACACGAUCUUAAUUUGCAAUUGCAAUGAUUAAUAAAGUAUAAUUAUAACCUAUUAUCAUAGAACCAUAAAUUAUAGGUUAAGAUUGAAUAAAGUAUCCAAAUCUAUCGAUUCUUAUAAUAAAACUCUCUAUUGACACGAUAUAUAUUUUUAUAAGCACAGAAUUACUAUUUUUGUUUCAUUGAAAUUUGUAAUGCGAAUUAGAAAGAUAGCCCAUUAAUAUCAGUUGCAUAAAUCGAGACUCAGCAACAAGGAGAGUUUCUUCUUGUUCUUAUCUUUGGCUAAAGAGAUCUACUUUUAUCGAGUUUUCCAUAGCGCUCGAUUACGCUUGAUUUUAAUUGCGUUUUCUUUUCGUGCAUUUUCGCCAAUAUCUCUUGUUUUCGUAUCGACUACUUUAUCUUAUUAUUAUUGAUUUCUUGUCGUUUUAGUAUCGUUCUACCUUCGCAAAUAACUUGUUUUUCGAUCGAGUUCGUUCUACGUUUGAAUAUUCGAUGAUCGUUCUUGUUUAUCGACCGUCAGGUAAAUCUAAAUUAAGCUACAAUUAGAUAACGUACAGUUGAGAGGACUUUGUUAACGGUACAAGUUCGGUCACGACGUGCUCACGGUUUCGACAAAUAACGCAGUUCGUUGUAACCCUAUCGACGCUAUGGAUCGUGACUGGAACUACUAACGGUUUACUCCACUUAACGAGCACUGAAUAACAUCGUGAGACGAUAUGACUUCUUUUAUAUUACUUUAUCAAAACAAAUAGUUAAAAUUACACUAGAUUUGGACAAUUUUAUGUACUAGUUUGUGCACACGCAAUGAGGAAAUUGGGUAUCAUGAGAUAACCUCUUUAUACUAUGGAUCUUCCAAAGAAUAGAAGUUGGAAUGCAUUUAAAAAAGAAAUUUCUGAUAAAUGUCGGAGAAUGGGCCACACACAUUAAUAUUGAGAGAAACGCCAUCUAAGGAGUUUGAAAGUUGACGGUGAAAAUUUAACUAUACGAUUGCGAAUAUCGCGACACCUAUAUAUUUGAUGGAUUACGAUACAAAUCUGUCGUUCGUUUGCUUCGAUGCGCGACAAACUUAGAAAGCAACUACAUAUUUGUUUCUAUUUCUUACUUAAACUUCUUGAUUCUAUAAAAAUUUUCAAUAUCUUUGCUACACGUCGGAGAUGGAAGUUUACCCGUUUCAAAACGAACGUGUUGAAAAGUUGCACGUAAUAUAAAACGUGUCUAGGAAAGAUAAACGCAAGUAGUUCGAUCCAACGUUAACCUAAAAGUAGCGUUAUCGAUAUACGUAGGAUCUGUCGGUACAAUCUUAAAAAUCCGAAUUACAUACCAAUGAAAGCGUCGAUUCAAUUUGAAUGAAAAUAGUGCUUCUCUUUUUAUUUUCUUUCCUUUCACGUCCAUAUAUCUACGAUCUUACGUUUUUCGAUAUAAGAAAAUUCGGGUUUCGACUAAACCCGGUGGAUAGGAAAUUGUUGUCGAAAAAGUCUAACGAACAGUAUCAUUAAAUGUUAGAAAACUAUUAAAAGACGCAUCAAAGCUUCAGAUAUAAAAAAAAAGUUGUAAUUUGAUGGGAGUCAAAAUUUGUUCAUUCUUUGAAGAAUUUGGUUAACUGCGAUUUUUAUCACAAUAUAUUUUGCAAAUGGAUGUCGUAUCUAUGGUUAAAAAUAAAAUUCCAUUUAUGCCAAGAGAUUUUCAGAAAUUAUGUAAUUAAAAUAUCACCUGGUAGAUAUUUGGAAAAAUGAAAAUCUUAGUUCUAACCUUUUAAAACUAAGCAACUGCGUAUUUUGCAAACUUCUUAUCCAGAACUAAAUGGAGAAUAUAGCCCUAUAUAUUCAGGCAACUUUUAAGCAAAUAUCGUUGAUAAAACAAGGCAAAUUUCACCUCAGUUCUACGUAAAUAAUGCAUGCUUCCUGGACAAAGUUUUCUCUGCUGAACUCUGGGAAAACUUUAUAGAUUUAUAUUCCCGUUACCACGACUGCAGUUUUUGAAACUUUCUCGCGCAUACGCUUUGUGAUUUUUUCUUUCCCUUUACUCCUUUUAAACCGUGGAAUCGAAGAUGAUUCGUAUCGAACUACGUGAGUCUAAUUUCUAAAUCGAUCACUCGUAUAUCGCACGUUUAGCGCACAAUUUCUCUUACGACUAAUCGAUUAUUAAUCCCUGAGUAAGAAAUACAUUCGUCGUUGAUUCUCUUCGUUGAACAGUGCACUUAUUGAGAUACGUGUAAUUUUGUGUGGUACACUGGAUUAGCCGCGUAGUAGUGUCACACAUAUAUGAAUGUGUGUGGUAGUAUGUGCGUGCGCAGCGUCUCGUAAAACAGAAGAAUGCAACUGUUCCAUAAGCAUGGUUUUAAGGAAGAUGGUGAGACAAAAAGAAUGCUGAGACGUGUGCAAUGUGUAUCUACGAAUAUCUUGUAAAUCACAUAUUGAAUAAAUCUGAAGCUAUUUUAAUAUCAUUUCUA